GGUUUGCCAUGAUUGGGGACGCAUCCCAAAGCAGGGCAAAUCAGAAACGACUGCAGAAAGGGCAAUGGCAGACCGGAGGUGGGACAAUGCAAUGUGGGAAUGGAGAGUAAGGUAAGUCUGUGAUAGUUACCCUUUCAUCUGCCACUGUAUAAAAGGGCUGUGGUUUUGUCAUUGACACAGUGCAAACAGACAUAAAUAUUUAAUAAACCAUUAACUCUUAUUCAAUUCAUAUUUUUUUUUUCAAAUAUCUGGUCAAAAUAGUUAACUUGAAUACAGC
Molecule: non-coding RNA, 277 nt
Organism: Pelobates cultripes (western spadefoot toad)
Lineage: Eukaryota; Metazoa; Chordata; Amphibia; Anura; Pelobatidae
Source: the annotation of a GenBank genome assembly